CAAAUUUCUUGCCCUAUCAACUUUCGAUGGUAGAGUAGUGGUCUACCAUGGUUUCAACGGGUAACGGGGAAUUAGGGUUCUAUUCCGGAGAGGGAGCCUGAGAAACGGCUACCACAUCCAAGGAAGGCAGCAGGCGCGCAAAUUACCCAAUCCCGACACGGGGAGGUAGUGACAAUAAAUACUGAUACAGGGCUCUUUUGGGUCUUGUAAUUGGAAUGAGUACAAUUUAAAUCCCUUAACGAGGAACAAUUGGAGGGCAAGUCUGGUGCCAGCAGCCGCGGUAAUUCCAGCUCCAAUAGCGUAUAUUAAAGUUGUUGCAGUUAAAAAGCUCGUAGUUGAACCUUGGGCCUGGCUGGCCGGUCCGCCUCACCGCGUGCACUGGUCCGGCCGGGCCUUUCCUUACUGGGGAGCCGCAUGCCCUUCACUGGGUGUGUCGGGGAACCAGGACUUUUACUUUGAAAAAAUUAGAGUGUUCAAAAGCAGGCCUAUGCUCGAAUACAUUAGCAUGGAAUAAUAGGAAUAGGACGUGUGGAUC
Molecule: ribosomal RNA, 535 nt
Filed under: uncultured fungus
Lineage: Eukaryota; Fungi
Description: SSU rRNA
Rfam family: Eukaryotic small subunit ribosomal RNA
Source: RNAcentral